This 395-nucleotide long non-coding RNA is filed under the name Nicotiana benthamiana. Its description in RNAcentral is "long non-coding RNA (NBEN_LNC024477)". The record is from RNAcentral. Lineage: Eukaryota; Viridiplantae; Streptophyta; Magnoliopsida; Solanales; Solanaceae.
CCCGAAAAAACGGAAGGAGAAGGAUAAGGAUCUUCUUCAGUGGAUCCCUCUUGUUCCUGUUUAGUCCCCUACAUUUCGGAAGCUGUUUCUAUUUCUACAUCUCUUUCUUCCUCACUUUCCACCCUUUCUUCUGUUUUUGAGGCUUCUUUUAGUUUCUUAGUAAGAAUGGAUCCCUCUUGUUCCUGUUUAGUCCCCUACAUUUCGGAAGCUGUUUCUAUUUCUACGUCUCUUUCUUCCUCACUUUCCACCCUUUUCUUCUGUUUUUGAGGCUUCUUUUAGUUUCUUAGUAAGAAUGGGUGGGGUAUUCUGCCUAAAUAGUAGACACAGGUAAUAAAUAAGAGAAUACUAAAGAUCCGAGCCAUAGAAUUUCUCAAUUCUAAUACAAGGUACUUAUU